CCUACGGGUGGCUGCAGUGGGGAAUAUUGGACAAUGGGGGCAACCCUGAUCCAGCCAUGCCGCGUGUGUGAAGAAGGCCCUCGGGUUGUAAAGCACUUUCAGUGAGGAAGAACGCCUGGUGGUUAAUACCCAUCAGGAAAGACAUCACGCACAGAAUAAGCACCGGCUAACUCCGUGCCAGCAGCCGCGGUAAUACGGAGGGUGCGAGCGUUAAUCGGAAUUACUGGGCGUAAAGCGCGCGUAGGUGGCUUGAUAAGCCGGUUGUGAAAGCCCCGGGCUCAACCUGGGAACGGCAUCCGGAACUGUCAAGCUAGAGUGCAGGAGAGGAAGGUAGAAUUCCCGGUGUAGCGGUGAAAUGCGUAGAGAUCGGGAGGAAUACCAGUGGCGAAGGCGGCCUUCUGGACUGACACUGACACUGAGGUGCGAAAGCGUGGGUAGCAAACAGGAUUAGAUACCCUUGUAGUC
Molecule: ribosomal RNA, 465 nt
Filed under: Vreelandella stevensii
Lineage: Bacteria; Pseudomonadati; Pseudomonadota; Gammaproteobacteria; Oceanospirillales; Halomonadaceae
Description: partial 16S ribosomal RNA
Rfam family: Bacterial small subunit ribosomal RNA
Source: RNAcentral